CGAAAAGCUCCCGUGAUGUCUGGUGACAGGUUCAUUUGAGGUCCAAACGAUGGAACGCCACUCAGAGAUCCUUGGAAAUUCUGGCUUGUCAAUACUCCAUAAAUGUGCCCAGUGCCUAAGUGGAUCAAUGAAGGCGAUGGAUGGAGAUCACUCUGUGUAAUGAGGACUAGACGAGAUGGAUUUCCUGUCAGCAGUUACACGUAGAAAAGAGGCUGAUAGCUCGUCCUUAUCUGGAGUGUAUUAGGUCAUCCAAGAGAACUCCGGUAAAGAUUUUCCACAGAGCAUUUGCAGUCACCUUCCUCUCAGAUCGGUGGGAUUCUUAGAGAAAUUGGCACACCCUUCCUAAGAAUCGCAAUAUCCAUCAGUAUUUACCUUGGGGAGAAAGUCUGGAACGAACGCGUUAUGGCAGCCCUACUCCCCUCAUUGUUGAA
This is a long non-coding RNA of Alexandromys fortis (reed vole), 431 nucleotides long. RefSeq lists it as uncharacterized. The record is from RefSeq and is a predicted model, not a curated record. NCBI's taxonomy places the organism in Eukaryota, Metazoa, Chordata, Mammalia, Rodentia, Cricetidae. The transcript has 3 exons.